GGGUCCCUAUAUACUCCUAUAGGGUCCUUAUAGAAUCGCUAUAUGUUUUUAUGGGGUCCCUAUAUGCCCCUAUGGGAUCCUUAUAGAAUCCCUAUGUGUUUCUAUGGGGUUCCUAUGUGCCCCUAUAGGGUCCCUAUAGGAUCCCUACAUGUUUCUCUGGGGUCCCUAUAUGCCCCUAUAGGGUUCUCAUAGAAUCGCUAUAUGUUUUUAUAGGGUCCCUAUAUGCUCCUAUGGGAUCCUUAUAGAAUCCCUGUAUGUUUCUAUGGGGUUCCUAUGUGCCCCUAUAGGGUCCCUAUAGGAUCCCUAUAUGUUUUUAUGGGGUCCCUAUAUGUCUCUAUAGGGUCCCUAUAGGAUCCUGAUAUGUCCCCAUGUGUUCCCAUAGGCCGCCAUGCUGUCCCUGAAGGUGAAGGUGGAGAAGCCGGAUUUGGAGGCGACGUCGGCGCGGAGCCGUUUGGAUGCGGUGCUGCAGGGGCUGCUGGAGCGCAGUGAGGGGGACAGGGAAGCCCUGGAGGACGACGCAGGGAAGGCGGUGGGCGACGCGGCCCCAAAGUAAAUCCCAAAA
This 562-nucleotide long non-coding RNA is filed under the name Chrysolophus pictus (golden pheasant). RNAcentral describes it as "lncRNA (ENSCPIG00010000544.1)". The record is from RNAcentral. Lineage: Eukaryota; Metazoa; Chordata; Aves; Galliformes; Phasianidae.